RNAcentral lists this ribosomal RNA (206 nucleotides) under uncultured bacterium. Its description in RNAcentral is "partial 16S ribosomal RNA". It matches the Rfam family "Bacterial small subunit ribosomal RNA", at positions 568 to 774 of the family's 1533-position model. The record is from RNAcentral.
UGCGUAGGCGGGUCUUUAAGUCAGGGGUGAAAUCCUGGAGCUCAACUCCAGAACUGCCUUUGAUACUGAAGACCUUGAGUUCGGGAGAGGUGAGUGGAACUGCGAGUGUAGAGGUGAAAUCCGUAGAUAUUCGCAAGAACACCAGUGGCGAAGGCGGCUCACUGGCCCGAUACUGACGCUGAGGCACGAAAGCGUGGGAGCAAACA